GACCUCCCAGGGUGGCAUCUGGAGAGUGACUAGUCAUCUUCAGGGAUGGGAAGGGAAGCAAGUCUGGCAUAUAUAAGGUGAGGCUCUAUUCCCACCUUGUUCAGUAGCUGACAACUGGAAGAACUGCAAAAUGU
Small nucleolar RNA from Mustela putorius furo (domestic ferret), 134 nucleotides. NCBI's taxonomy places the organism in Eukaryota, Metazoa, Chordata, Mammalia, Carnivora, Mustelidae. The record is from Ensembl.